GCUCAGAGGUAGAGCGCUUGCCUGGCAUGCAUGAGGCACUGAGUUCAAUCCUCAG
RNAcentral lists this transfer RNA (55 nucleotides) under Ictidomys tridecemlineatus (thirteen-lined ground squirrel). Its description in RNAcentral is "Spermophilus tridecemlineatus (thirteen-lined ground squirrel) tRNA". It matches the Rfam family "tRNA", at positions 10 to 63 of the family's 71-position model. From Rfam's summary of the family: Transfer RNA (tRNA) molecules are approximately 80 nucleotides in length. Their secondary structure includes four short double-helical elements and three loops (D, anti-codon, and T loops). Further hydrogen bonds mediate the characteristic L-shaped molecular structure. tRNAs have two regions of fundamental functional importance: the anti-codon, which is responsible for specific mRNA codon recognition, and the 3' end, to which the tRNAs corresponding amino acid is attached (by aminoacyl-tRNA synthetases). tRNAs cope with the degeneracy of the genetic code in two manners: having more than one tRNA (with a specific anti-codon) for a particular amino acid; and 'wobble' base-pairing, i.e. permitting non-standard base-pairing at the 3rd anti-codon position. The record is from Rfam by way of RNAcentral. Lineage: Eukaryota; Metazoa; Chordata; Mammalia; Rodentia; Sciuridae.